AUCUACUGAACUACACCUAUUACUGAGGGAGGCUGUGUCUUGUGCUAAAAGCAGAAAAAAAUGAGUUCCAGUCAUCCUGGGAAAGGUUCAGAAGGGGAAGAGAUGGAAACAGGGAUAUUUACUACUCAACUGAGCAAGAGACCAGGGUGCUGUAGAGAUUUAUAGUGAACUGCUUUCAGGAUGGACUACAUGACGUAACUGGACACUGAAAGAAAUCCAAAUACCAAUCAGCAAUAUUGAGAAAGAACUACAUUGUUUCAGCACUGUUGCAUAUGGCCAAGAUUUAUAAAAUGCUGUGGGUCCUCCCCUCCACCAAGAGACCAGUCCUACAGUCCGGAUGCCCUUAAUGC
This is a long non-coding RNA of Mauremys reevesii (Reeves's turtle), 350 nucleotides long. RefSeq lists it as uncharacterized. The record is from RefSeq and is a predicted model, not a curated record. Lineage: Eukaryota; Metazoa; Chordata; Testudines; Geoemydidae. The transcript has 5 exons.